This 496-nucleotide ribosomal RNA is filed under the name uncultured bacterium. Its description in RNAcentral is "partial 16S ribosomal RNA". It matches the Rfam family "Bacterial small subunit ribosomal RNA", at positions 28 to 507 of the family's 1533-position model. The record is from RNAcentral.
GACGAACGCUGGCGGCGUGCCUAAUACAUGCAAGUUGAGCGCUGAAGGUUGGUACUUGUACCAACUGGAUGAGCAGCGAACGGGUGAGUAACGCGUGGGGAAUCUGCCUUUGAGCGGGGGACAACAUUUGGAAACGAAUGCUAAUACCGCAUAAAAACUUUAAACACAAGUUUUAAGUUUGAAAGAUGCAAUUGCAUCACUCAAAGAUGAUCCCGCGUUGUAUUAGCUAGUUGGUGAGGUAAAGGCUCACCAAGGCGAUGAUACAUAGCCGACCUGAGAGGGUGAUCGGCCACAUUGGGACUGAGACACGGCCAAACUCCUACGGGAGGCAGCAGUAGGGAAUCUUCGGCAAUGGACGAAAGUCUGACCGAGCAACGCCGCGUGAGUGAAGAAGGUUUUCGGAUCGUAAAACUCUGUUGGUAGAGAAGAACGUUGGUGGGAGUGGAAAGCUCAUCAAGUGACGGUAACUACCCAGAAAGGGACGGCUAACUACGUG